RNAcentral lists this ribosomal RNA (361 nucleotides) under uncultured bacterium. RNAcentral's name for it is "partial 16S ribosomal RNA". It matches the Rfam family "Bacterial small subunit ribosomal RNA", at positions 338 to 697 of the family's 1533-position model. The record is from RNAcentral.
CCUACGGGAGGCAGCAGUGAGGAAUAUUGGUCAAUGGCCGGAAGGCUGAACCAGCCAAGUCGCGUGAGGGACGACUGCCCUAUGGGUUGUAAACCUCUUUUAUAAGGGAACAAUAAAUGCUACGUGUAGCAUGAUGCCUGUACCUUAUGAAUAAGCAUCGGCUAACUCCGUGCCAGCAGCCGCGGUAAUACGGAGGAUGCGAGCGUUAUCCGGAUUUAUUGGGGUUAAAGGGUGUGCAGGCGGUUUUUAAAGUUAGUGGUAAAACGUCGGGGCUUCACCUUGAUUGGCCAUUAAUACUGUAAGACUAGAGUUCGUACGAGGUAGGUGGAAUAAGUAAAGUAGCAGUGAAAUGCUUAGAUAU